This 414-nucleotide ribosomal RNA is filed under the name uncultured bacterium. RNAcentral describes it as "bacterial SSU rRNA". It matches the Rfam family "Bacterial small subunit ribosomal RNA", at positions 355 to 786 of the family's 1533-position model. The record is from RNAcentral.
UGGGGAAUAUUGGACAAUGGGCGCAAGCCUGAUCCAGCCAUGCCGCGUGAGUGAUGACGGCCUUAGGGUUGUAAAGCUCUUUUACCCGGGAAGAUAAUGACUGUACCGGGAGAAUAAGCCCCGGCUAACUUCGUGCCAGCAGCCGCGGUAAUACGAAGGGGGCUAGCGUUGUUCGGAAUCACUGGGCGUAAAGCGCACGUAGGCGGACUUUUAAGUCAGGGGUGAAAUCCCGAGGCUCAACCUCGGAACUGCCUUUGAUACUGGGAGUCUUGAAUUCGAGAGAGGUAAGUGGAAUUGGUAGUGUAGAGGUGAAAUUCGUAGAUAUUACCAGGAACACCAGUGGCGAAGGCGGCUUACUGGCUCGAUAUUGACGCUGAGGUGCGAAAGCGUGGGGAUCAAACAGGAUUAGAUACC